RNAcentral lists this transfer-messenger RNA (380 nucleotides) under TM7 phylum sp. oral taxon 350. It matches the Rfam family "transfer-messenger RNA". From Rfam's summary of the family: Bacterial tmRNA, also known as 10Sa RNA or SsrA, is named for its dual tRNA and mRNA-like properties. The record is from Rfam by way of RNAcentral. RNAcentral also lists the same sequence under 1 other name. Lineage: Bacteria; Candidatus Saccharimonadota.
GGGGCUGAUAUAGCUUUCGACAGAUGGAAUUUAACAAAUCAUAUUGCAAGUCGUAGACAUACGUAAAAUGUUUAAAUAAAUGCAAAAUCAUUUGCGGCAAAACUAGCUUCUGUAUUUGCACCAGCUAGUCUUGCACCAGCUACUGUUUAAUUUUUUGUAGCCAUCGCGAUCUCUAGUCAGCAUGUGAGACUAGCGGUGUCAUAUUUAUGCUGAUGCUUGCUUGAUAAGCGCAAAGUCAAGCAAUAAGAUUUUUUGCGAACUAUAGAGAAACAUUUUUGUUAAUUUUUAAGUUUUUCUAUAGGAAAUUAAAAUUAACUAAACUUGUAGAUGUAUGAUGGGUUACCAUUUGGACCGGGGGGCAGUACCCCGCAGCUCCACCA